This 65-nucleotide non-coding RNA is filed under the name Chromobacterium haemolyticum. Lineage: Bacteria; Pseudomonadati; Pseudomonadota; Betaproteobacteria; Neisseriales; Chromobacteriaceae. The record is from RNAcentral.
CCGCGAAACCGCCCGCAAGGGCGGUCUGCCGGGCGUGGCGGCCCGGUACUGAUGAGCAGCCGCAG